UUCGUAUCUUCUCCGGCAGCACGCGAUGUCUCCGGCCAUCAACUUUGACGGCAGCACGCAGUGUCUCCAGUGCUCUCCGUGAGUCGCGACCAUCUUCUUUCAAUCGCACGAUGGUCUAUUGCUCCAACCUCCACCAAUGUUGUGCUCUAUAACACGUAAGCGAGUUCCGCCGAUUCCGCCAAGUCGCCAUGUCGGCGUGACCUUAGACCCUCACCGCCGACUCCGUCAGCUUCGAUUUCAGUCAAUCAUGGAUGAAGAUGGAUUGAGCAGAUCUCAAUCAACCAUGGCUGAGCGAUUCAAUCGAAUCUGGUGGGGAAACCAACUUUUCAUUAUUUGUGUUUUUGGUCCUCAAAUGUUUUGUUUCUCUUCAUUUUAGUCCCAAACUUUCUAAUUGACAAGAUUUUUUUUUCUGUUUUCAGAUUGAACUUUUCGAUUAUGCACUUUAAACCAUGUUAGCUAAAAAUGGACAAAUAAAUACAAUAUACAUACACCUAAAUACAAUUUAAAAUGAUUAAAAUAAGCUAAAACUAACUGCAUAAUAAGAAAAAUCAUGAAAUUGCUAAUGGAGUGGGUUAUAGAAGAUGGUAAACUGGUACGACUCAUAUAACUAAACAUAUAACUCAAAUACUAGACAUGUAAUACUGGUUUAAUUGGUACAACUUCAUAGUAUAUAUCAGACAUGUAAUACUAGUACUACUGGUUGAACUUCUUCAUUAUAGAAAUUUAAAAAUUUCAUUUGCUUUUCCAUAUGAAAAAAUACAACUAUAUACAAAUUUGUACAACCCAAAAUUUGGUACAACUACGUAUUACUCAAAGGGGGGUUGCUAAAGGCGCCUUUAGUGAUUAGUGAUUAGUGAUGUUAACAUCAAUGGUUGCAUGCCGAAUGGGAUUCUUGUCAAUGGUAGUAGCGGGGAUAGCUCUUGAACUCCAGCAUAUCAGUUUUGGAAAAGGAUGACUCAUCCAAUGAAAUGUUUGAUGUUCCGCUACCUGGAGAAGAAAAAUACUCUGCAGGUAUAAAUGACUUAAACCUUUUUAUAAGCAUUAUGGUGAUUGCAUGCUUGCGUUUGAUCUUAGGGACAUUUGCAGUGUGUGUCUAUGACUCUAUGCCUUUUAGAUUGGCUUUGGUAGCUUCUUUUUCUGGUUUGUGAUUACUGAUUAGCAUGACAUAAACCGACGUCCACAUUGUUGUUCCAGGUACUCCGACGACCUGCAGCUUUCACAUCUUCACCCACGAAGGCUCUAGCUCUUGUUUCUAAACCAACGUGGCAAUGUGGUCAGAAUAGCCAUGUUGAUGUGCUGAAAAUCGAAGAAUGUAAUGGAUCUGCUUCUACAAGUCAAGCAGCUAGACAUAUCAAUAUGAUUGAGUGUAUCACACUACAAAGUGACAGCUAAAAGGGAAAGGGAACUCAAAGCAGAUGAGUAAAAAGCAAGAAGAAAGAAGAACUGCUUACGCUGAAGAAGCCAGCAACAACUCUCUGCCUAAUUGUUCUCUCUUUGGUCAUUUCAGCGUUGGCACUCAAGCUAUGGUAAAGAGAUUCUCAACUGCAUGACGUGGAGAGUGAGGAAAAGGCCAACUAUGAACCCUGGAAUGUCCCGCUGAUUUCCUUUGGGAUUAAGCUGAAUGAUGAAGCUGUUGUUGGUCAUCCUUCAACGGUUGAAAUGCUUGAAGAUAGAUCGUGUGACAGUGUUUUGUGUAGUCAUAUCAAGUCACUUGUUGUUCCAAUGUUUGAUUGUGAUGUGAAGCCAAAACCAUCUAAAUCCAAGAACAAGAAACCACACAUGCCUUUACAUAAAUCAUCAAAGUCAAAGAAAGUUUCGCCUCUAUUCGUAAAGACAAGGUGCUUCUCUGCUCUAAGUGGCCAGAAGAAAGUGAUGAUAGAGAAUGUUGGACUUUAAUUAACUAAAGGAGGAAACAACGUUUCAGACAAAACGUGUCGGUUAUGAGUCAACAUAUGCGUUGAUCAAAAAGCACUGCUUUAGUUAACGUAUGUGUUGAUUAAAGAUACCAUUUGAGUCAUUAUAUAAAGUGAUCAAGUGCAAUACGAGAAAGUAAGAGAAGAAGGAGAGAAGAUAGAAGAUUACUGAGAAUCAAUUGGAUGUAAUCUUUUUCUUUCCCAUGACAAAUUUCUGAAGGAAAACUCAAAGUAAAGUUUGUUAGAGUCUCGGUACAGGUGUGUUGUAAGGAGAUCGAUAGUUGUAUCCUCAAGAUAGACACCUAUAAAACUACACACCAUUGUUGGGAGGAAAUUCUGUCUUAGGAGAUUGUUUAGGCAAGCCUCUAUCAAACCAUAAUCGUUAAGUUGUAAGAAGAAGAAACAUAAUUAUUUCGUAACUUUUUAUAAGGGUUUAUAAAUCGAGUAAGAUUUAUAAGAUUCUAUAAACUCAAACGUAUUGAGUACGUGAGAUUGAUUUGCAUCUGUACUUUGGAUUAACAAUCUAAGACAUAACUUUCUUUGUUCUUUUCAAAGAAAGCAAGAUGGAUCAAUCUACUACAAUUGUGAAAAGUCACAUAGAGAAGCCUUUUGUUUUCUGAGGAGUGGAUUUCAAAAGAUGGCAACAAAAAGAUGUUUUAUUUCAGAACACUAUAUCUGGCCCAGUGCUUUACUUCUGAAGGACCAGAGUUACUUGUAGAAGGUGAUAUAUUCCUGAUGAAAUCGUUAAAGCUUCAAAGGCAUGGACGCAAAACGAGUUUUGUACAAGAAAUAUAUAUUCUUAACGCUUUGGACGAUUCUUUCUAUGAUGUUUAUCAUAUAUUCCAAACUUCAAAACAGUUGUAGGAAUCAUUAGGGAAAUAAAUACAAGUCUGAAGUUGUACGCAUUAAGACGUUCAUCGUGGAAAAGUUCUUAAACUUUAAGAUGAGUGAUACUGUUUUUGUGGUGAAACAAGUGAAAAAAAAAAUUCCAAAUCAUUGCUCAUGAAAGAUAUGGGAUUGACUGUUAAUUCUUGGAAUUAGAGUUAAACAAGAGUCAUAUGGUAAAAUGAAAAAAAAAAUUAAAAUGGCAAGUCAAGACGUAUAAGACGUAGACAUGCAUGACAAUAGCUUUCCAAUGGGGUGAUAGCAUUGGAUUACAUUAGAUCAAAGGAUAACUUGGUUGAUACUUUGACCAAAAGCCUAUCUAAAAAGCAAGUUGUAUUCAUUUCGAGAGGAAUGGGUCUCAAGCCAACAUAAUGAGUCAUCACUUGAUGGAAACCUAACCUAGCAACAUUGAAGAUCCCAUGGUCUAGGUUCAAUAGGCAAACUAGUUGAGGAAGGCUCAAGAUGUUUUACACAUUUCUCAUUCCUAAGAAAUCUUACUGAAUGACUCAUGACAAUUCCCAACCAUCGAAACAAGGGAGAGCCCAGUAAUAAUGUGUAUCCAUUAAUGAUUAAGGUUGAAUAAUUUAUUCUUAAUAAUGUUAGUAUUUUUUGUAGAAGAGAGAUAGAAUGUACUAUCUUUAACUAACGUUACCUAUAUGGGAGUGGUGUCGGUCGCACCUAUGAGAAUCGAUAUAGCUAAAUUCUCUAGAUCUCUCACGAAGUCCGGAUAUGUUCAGGACCAAAAUGAACACAACCGUAUAAACUAGAAAUGAGCUGAUGAGAUAUGUGUUUCAUUUAUUGUCUAGGUUUACUAUAAAAUGUGGUUAAUUCAAGACUAUAGUUCAUUACACACAAAGUUAAUCCGAUAAGUUGUUACUAGGAAAGGUUCAAGUUAAAAGACACCUUCUCGCUGCAUAUUAAUUCCACUUUCUCAGAAAUAUUUGAACUUAUUUUCUAUUCAAAUGUGGGGUAUUGUUGAGUUUGAAUAGAAAGUGUGGGGUAUUGUUGGACUUUAAUUAGCUAAAGGAGGAAGCGACAUUUCAGACAAAACGUGUCGGUUAUGAGUCAACAUAUGGCGUUGAUCAAAAGGCACCGCUUGAGUUAACUUAUGCGUUGAUUAAAUGCACCAUUUAAGUCAUUAUAUAAAGUGAUCAAGUGCAAUACGAGAAAGUAAGAGAAGAAGGAGAGAAGAGAGAAGAUUACUGAGAAUCAAUUGGAUUUAAUCUUUUUCGUUCCCAUAACAAAUUUCUGAAGGAAAACUCAAAGUAAAGUUUGCUAGGGUCUCGGUACGGGUGUGUUGUAUGGAGAUGGAUAGUUGUAUCCUCAAAAUAGACGCCUACAAAACUACACACCAUUGUAGGGGGAAAAUUCUGUCUUAGGAGAUUGCUUAGGCACAAUCGUUAAGUUAUGAGAAGAAGAAACAUAAUUAUUUCGUAAUUUUUUAUAAUGGUUUAUAAAUCGAGUAAAAUUUAUAAAAGUCUAUAAACUCAAAUGUAUUGAGUACGUGAGAUUGAUUUGCAUCUGUACUUUGGAUUAACAGAGAAGACGAAAGAGAAGGUUGUGUCCUGCAUCCCUCUGAAAGUUGUAUUCAGUAGGAUAAACGAAGCAGUGAAGGGGUCAGCGAGAAAAGUGCACAGAACAUUACCAUCUACAUGAUGAGAUGAGUCUGGUCUCUGGUUUGUUUUCGCCUUUCUCACUUCGGUUCAAAGGUGAAUAGUCCAGUUUAGUGGGUUAUGGAUGGUUUAGUGUACAGUACAGAGAUAUCUUAGCUUUAUGAGACAGAAUUAGAGCAAAGAAUAUGGAAGUAAAGUUGUAUAUGUAUUGAUAAAAAAAAUAGAAGUUGUAUAUGUAAAUAUUAGCAAUAGCAACAGCAACAGAAGACAUUUGCUACACAUUGUAUGUUGUGACUCUUGAAAAGUUCUUGCCAACCUGAGAUGGAGAAGUAACUCUUUAUAGAUCUUUCGUUCUUUGUUUUUUUCUGCUUUAUGUUCACAUACACAGCAUCCCUGUUUGAUAAACUAACCUGUACUUUAUAAUGCAAAUUAAGUUUCUUAUGACUGGAUUCACCAUGGACAAGACUAUGUAUGAAACAUAAAGGGACAUUAUUCUUAUAUGGGACAUAACCCUUAUGGGCUAUUCUAUCAUAACCCACAUUAUUCAUCGUGACCCUCUUUAAAUGAAAUAUCCACUUUACCCUUAAUGAAUUUAUUCUUUUUGUUUUAUUUUUUAUCUUUCCAGCAAUUAACUAAAAAAUAAAAAAAAAUGGCUUCCUUUCACCUUCGCCGACUUAAGUUCGUAUCUUCUCCGGCAGCACGCGAUGUCUCCGGCCAUCAACUUUGACGGCAGCACGCAGUGUCUCCAGUGCUCUCCGUGAGUCGCGACCAUCUUCUUUCAAUCGCACGAUGGUCUAUUGCUCCAACCUCCACCAAUGUUGUGCUCUAUAACACGUAAGCGAGUUCCGCCGAUUCCGCCAAGUCGCCAUGUCGGCGUGACCUUAGACCCUCACCGCCGACUCCGUCAGCUUCGAUUUCAGUCAAUCAUGGAUGAAGAUGGAUUGAGCAGAUCUCAAUCAACCAUGGAUGAGCGAUUCAAUCGAAUCUGGUGGGGAAACCAACUUUUCAUUAUUUGUGUUUUUGGUCCUCAAAUGUUUUGUUUCUCUUCAUUUUGGUCCCAAACUUUAUAAUUAACAAGAUUUUUUUUCUGUUUUCAGAUUGAACUUUUCAAUUAUGCACUUUAAACCAUGUUAGCUAAAAAUGGACAAAUAAAUACAAUAUACAUA
Molecule: long non-coding RNA, 5577 nt
Filed under: Brassica napus (rape)
Lineage: Eukaryota; Viridiplantae; Streptophyta; Magnoliopsida; Brassicales; Brassicaceae
Description: long non-coding RNA (BNAP_LNC013602)
Source: RNAcentral